UAGGGAAUAUUGCAAAAUGGGCGAAAGCCCGAUGCAGCAACGCCGCGUGGGCGAUGAAGGCCUUCGGGUCGUAAAGCCCUUUUUGAGGGGAUGAGGAAGGACAGUACCCUCAGAAGAAGCCUCGGCUAACUACGUGCCAGCAGCCGCGGUAAAACGUAGGAGGCGAGCGUUGUCCGGAUUUACUGGGUGUAAAGGGCGCGCAGGCGGGAUAAAAAGUCAGUGGUGAAAUCCUACAGCUUAACUGUAGAACUGCCUUUGAUACUUUUAUUCUUGAGUUCGGGAGAGAGAGACGGAAUUCCAGGUGUAGUGGUGAAAUACGUAGAUAUCUGGAAGAACACCAGUUGCGAAGGCGGUCUCUUGGUCCGACACUGACGCUGAGGCGCGAAAGCGUGGGGAGCAAACA
RNAcentral lists this ribosomal RNA (403 nucleotides) under uncultured bacterium. RNAcentral's name for it is "bacterial SSU rRNA". It matches the Rfam family "Bacterial small subunit ribosomal RNA", at positions 355 to 774 of the family's 1533-position model. The record is from RNAcentral.